Long non-coding RNA from Salvelinus namaycush (lake trout), 1399 nucleotides. RefSeq lists it as uncharacterized. The transcript has 3 exons. Lineage: Eukaryota; Metazoa; Chordata; Actinopteri; Salmoniformes; Salmonidae. The record is from RefSeq and is a predicted model, not a curated record.
ACGUUGACUCACUUGUGCAUCAUUUCCAUAUAUAGUUAGUUAGCGUUAAAUUAAUCAGGAAUUUUGUGUAAAUCUGACUUGCCUUUCUCGUCCCGCUCGGAUAACUUUAGUCAACGUUUGGGAUGGGUGUAAUUUGGACAAAUUCAGAUAGAUCCUUCUCGACUUUGUUCCGUUUGUGUUUUGCAACAUAAUUGGCGUAAUCUGUUGCAGUUUCUGAUCUCAGGCUAACAUCCUCCUGUCCUCGGCUGGAUUUCCCAAAAACAUCAUAGUACUAAAAUAAUCUUAAUUCCAUUGAAAUUAAAUGAACGAAAGAUGAUUGCAGUGCUACGAUGCUUUUGGGAUAACAAGCUCUGGUCUGGGCAUCAUUUCUGCCACCUGCAGGAGGAGGUUGAAGCUGCACGAUCAAGUUAAACUGAAAUUCUUUCUCUCUGUCACCCAUGCAGUGCUCUUCUCCUCACCUGCCCCCAACAACUGUACCAACAGCCAACAUGCCCCGUUUCCUACUGUCGAAGCCAAGAGAAGACCAUCAUGACGACAGAAGAGGUUCACCUACAGGUACUGCUGUCUCCCUUGGCCUCCCAGGUGUCCCAUCCAGAGAACAUGGAAGAUUAUUUAUUUAUUUAACGAAAGGACGCACUCCGCUCUGCCACCAAGGCAUUCAGCUGGAAACGAUUCAACCUCAGAGGUUCAAUGUGAGGGGUCAGUCGACCAACAUGGUCAAACACAGGAGUUCCUUCAGCUGUUGAUGGCAGCCAUCCGAGACUGUUGUUUGUUCCAGGGGCCAGACUACUGCAAAAGCCUAAUAUUGGACUAGUAUUGUAAGAUCGCACUGUUUAUAUGUUCAAAUAUGUUCAAAUAUGACACUUUCUAUCUAGUCCUAGAACUCUGUCCUGUUGUAUCACUUUCAGUGUAGUCCUAGCAGAGUGAACUAUAAGGUCCUAUAUGCUAUAUUACUACAUAGAUAGGUGGCCUCUUAUGCGCUGUCCAUAGUAACCCCCCCCAAAAAUGAAUUAAUAUGGUGGUAUUAACUUGUACCAUGUUUUAGCGUGGGAUAAUGUACAGGCUGGUAGAGAACAUGAUCAGUGUCUGAGUGGUGAUAUGUGGCCCCACUUCCUGUCCAGGAGAACGUUUGACAUGAUCUGUGGUCUUCCGUCUGCUCCUGUGGCCCUGGACGAGAUUACAAAUCAGGAAAUACGAGCCAGGCUGGAGAAGGCACGUGACAUGUUCACGUGUUCUUUGCCGUAUAUAUUGGUUUGUGUAUGUAGCCUGAGCCCUGGGCUUGUACUCACAUAGCUUCUCAGACCAGGAGUGUUGAUCUAGGACCAGGUCCUUCCUGUACAUACAGGCAACUGCAAAAAUAAAGGAAACGCCAAUAAUAAGUGUCUUAAUAGGGCGUUGG